This 948-nucleotide ribosomal RNA is filed under the name uncultured sponge bacterium. RNAcentral describes it as "bacterial SSU rRNA". It matches the Rfam family "Bacterial small subunit ribosomal RNA", at positions 65 to 1024 of the family's 1533-position model. The record is from RNAcentral.
AUUUUCAUUUCGGUGAUAAUACGCCGUGGAGAGUGGCGAACGGGUGCGUAACACGUAGGUAACCUGCCCUGAAAGGGGGGAUAACCACGGGAAACUGUGGCUAAUACCGCAUAAUCUCGCCGGGACGGUGGUUUCGGUGAGGAAAGCUGAGGCGAUUUGGGAGGGGCCUGCGGUCGAUUAGCUUGUUGGUGGGGUAAAAGCCUACCAAGGCGAUGAUCGAUAGCUGUUCUGAGAGGAAGACCAGCCACACGGGAACUGAGACACGGUUCCGACUCCUACGGGGGGCAGCAGUGAGGAAUAUUGCGCAAUGGGGGAAACCCUGACGCAGCAACGCCGCGUGGAGGACGAAGGUUUUCGGAUUGUAAACUCCUUAACUGGGGGAAGAGGAAGGACGGUACCCCAGGACGAAGACACGGCUAACUAGGUGCCAGCAGCCGCGGUAAUACCUAGGUGUCAAGCGUUAUCCGGAAUUACUGGGCGUAAAGGGUGCGCAGGCGGCGAUACAAGUCUGGCGUGAAAGCUUCUGGCUUAACUGGGAGAGGACGUUAGAAACUGUAUGGCUAGAGUGAAUGAGAGGGGGGCGGAAAUCCCGGUGUAGUGGUGGAAUGCGUAGAUAUCGGGAAGAACACCAGAGGCGAAGGCGGCCUCCUGGCAUUUUACUGACGCUGAGGCACGAAAGCGUGGGUAGCGAACGGGAUUAGAUACCCCGGUAGUCCACGCUGUAAACGAUGUGAACGAGGUGUGGGCGGUGUAGAAGCCGUCUGUGCCGGAGCAAACGCGAUAAGUUCACCGCCUGGGGAGUACGGUCGCAAGGCUAAAACUCAAAGGAAUUGACGGGGGCCCGCACAAGCAGCGGAGCGUGUGGUUUAAUUCGAUGCAACGCGAAGAACCUUACCUGGGCUUGACAUGUACGUAGUAGUGAAGGGAAACCCGGAACGAGCCUUCGGG